Molecule: unclassified non-coding RNA, 333 nt
Filed under: soil metagenome
Description: partial contains 5.8S ribosomal RNA, internal transcribed spacer 2, and large subunit ribosomal RNA
Rfam family: 5.8S ribosomal RNA (bases 1-120)
Source: RNAcentral
GAUGAAGAACGCAGUGAAAUGCGAUAAGUAGUGUGAAUUUCAGAAUUCAGUGAAUCAUCGAAUCUUUGAACGCACAUUGCGCCCCUCGGUAUUCCGUGGGGCAUGCCUGUUCGAGCGUCAUUUACCCCUCAAGCACUGCUUGGUGUUGGGCGUCUGUCCCGCUUCGCGCGCGGACUCGCCCCAAAGGUAUUGGCAGCGGUCGUGCCAGCUUCUCGCGCAGCACAUUGCGCUUCUCGAGGCGGUCGAUCGGCGUCCACGAAGCUCACCUCCACCGUUUGACCUCGGAUCAGGUAGGGAUACCCGCUGAACUUAAGCAUAUCAAUAAGCGGAGGA